RNAcentral lists this ribosomal RNA (455 nucleotides) under uncultured bacterium. RNAcentral describes it as "partial 16S ribosomal RNA". It matches the Rfam family "Bacterial small subunit ribosomal RNA", at positions 29 to 507 of the family's 1533-position model. The record is from RNAcentral.
AGCGAACGCUGGCGGCAGGCUUAACACAUGCAAGUCGAGCGGGCACUUUCGGGUGUCAGCGGCGGACGGGUGAGUAACGCGUGGGAACGUGCCCUCUGGUUCGGAAUAACUCAGGGAAACUUGAGCUAAUACCGGAUACGCCCUUUUGGGGAAAGGCUUGCUUCCGGAGGAUCGGCCCGCGUCUGAUUAGCUAGUUGGUGAGGUAACGGCUCACCAAGGCGACGAUCGGUAGGUGGUCUGAGAGGGUGAUCAGCCACACUGGGACAGAGACACGGCCCAUACUCGUACGGGAGGCAGCACGGAGGAAGAUUGGACUAUGGGUGCGAGCCUGAUCCAGCCAGACCGCGGGAAGGACGACGGCCCUAUGGGUUGUAAACUUCUUUUGUAGAAGGGUAACACUAGAUACCUGUAUCUAGCGGACGGGACUAUACGAAUAAGCACCGGCUAACUCCGUG